GUAUAGCUCAGUGACAGAGCACAUGCCUAGCAUGCAUAAGACCCUGGGUUUGAUUCCUGGUAC
RNAcentral lists this transfer RNA (63 nucleotides) under Ictidomys tridecemlineatus (thirteen-lined ground squirrel). RNAcentral's name for it is "Spermophilus tridecemlineatus (thirteen-lined ground squirrel) tRNA". It matches the Rfam family "tRNA", at positions 5 to 66 of the family's 71-position model. Rfam says of the family: Transfer RNA (tRNA) molecules are approximately 80 nucleotides in length. Their secondary structure includes four short double-helical elements and three loops (D, anti-codon, and T loops). Lineage: Eukaryota; Metazoa; Chordata; Mammalia; Rodentia; Sciuridae. The record is from Rfam by way of RNAcentral.